Molecule: ribosomal RNA, 780 nt
Filed under: Arenibacter sp. TBL_52
Lineage: Bacteria; Pseudomonadati; Bacteroidota; Flavobacteriia; Flavobacteriales; Flavobacteriaceae
Description: bacterial SSU rRNA
Rfam family: Bacterial small subunit ribosomal RNA
Source: RNAcentral
AUAGAAUCAGCCCUGUACUGGGGAAUAGCCCAGAGAAAUUUGGAUUAAUGCCCCAUGGUAUGUAUUAGCGGCAUCGCUUAUACAUUAAAGGCUACGGUACAGGAUGACUAUGCGUCCCAUUAGUUAGUUGGUAAGGUAACGGCUUACCAAGGCAGCGAUGGGUAGGGGCCCUGAGAGGGGGAUCCCCCACACUGGUACUGAGACACGGACCAGACUCCUACGGGAGGCAGCAGUGAGGAAUAUUGGACAAUGGGCGGGAGCCUGAUCCAGCCAUGCCGCGUGCAGGAAGACGGUCCUAUGGAUUGUAAACUGCUUUUGUACGGGAAGAACAAGGGGCACGUGUGCCCCUCUGACGGUACCGUAAGAAUAAGGAUCGGCUAACUCCGUGCCAGCAGCCGCGGUAAUACGGAGGAUCCGAGCGUUAUCCGGAAUCAUUGGGUUUAAAGGGUCCGUAGGCGGGCCAUUAAGUCAGGGGUGAAAGUCUGCGGCUCAACCGUAGAAUUGCCCUUGAUACUGGUGGUCUUGAGUUAUGGUGAAGUAACUAGAAUAUGUAGUGUAGCGGUGAAAUGCAUAGAUAUUACAUAGAAUACCGAUUGCGAAGGCAGGUUACUAACCAUAUACUGACGCUGAUGGACGAAAGCGUGGGGAGCGAACAGGAUUAGAUACCCUGGUAGUCCACGCCGUAAACGAUGGAUACUAGCUGUCCGGAUGCAAAUCUGGGCGGCCAAGCGAAAGUGAUAAGUAUCCCACCUGGGGAGUACGUCCGCAAGGAUGAAACUC